GCAUAUCAAUAAGCGGAGGAAAAGGAAACCAACAGGGAUUACCUCAGUAACGGCGAGUGAAGCGGUAACAGCUCAAAUUUGAAAGCUAGCUCGUUUAGGGUUCGCAUUGUAAUUUGUAGAAGAUGCUUCGGGUGUGGCCCCGGUCUAAGUUCCUUGGAACAGGACGUCAUAGAGGGUGAGAAUCCCGUAUGUGACUGGGUGCUUUCGCUCAUGUGAAGCUCUUUCGACGAGUCGAGUUGUUUGGGAAUGCAGCUCAAAAUGGGUGGUAAAUUUCAUCUAAAGCUAAAUAUUGGCCAGAGACCGAUAGCGCACAAGUAGAGUGAUCGAAAGAUGAAAAGCACUUUGGAAAGAGAGUUAAACAGUACGUGAAAUUGUUGAAAGGGAAGCGCUUGCAACCAGACUUGCGCGCUGAUGAUCAUCCGGGCUUCUGCCCGGUGCACUCGUCUGCGCUCAGGCCAGCAUCGGUUUCGGUGGUGGGAUAAAGGCCUUGGGAAUGUAGCUCCUCUCGGGGAGUGUUAUAGCCCUCGGUGCAAUGCCGCCUACCGGGACCGAGGACCGCGCUUCGGCUAGGAUGCUGGCGUAAUGGUUGUAAGCGACCCGUCUUGAAACACGGACCAAGGAGUCUAACAUCUAUGCGAGUGUUUGGGUGUCAAACCCAUACGCGUAAUGAAAGUGAACGGAGGUGAGAACCCUUAAGGGUGCAUCAUCGACCGAUCCUGAUGUCUUCGGAUGGAUUUGAGUAAGAGCAUAGCUGUUGGGACCCGAAAGAUGGUGAACUAUGCGUGAAUAGGGUGAAGCCAGAGGAAACUCUGGUGGAGGCUCGCAGCGGUUCUGACGUGCAAAUCGAUCGUCAAAUUUGCGUAUAGGGGCGAAAGACUAAUCGAACCAUCUAGUAGCUGGUUCCUGCCGA
Molecule: ribosomal RNA, 910 nt
Filed under: Cadophora fastigiata
Lineage: Eukaryota; Fungi; Ascomycota; Leotiomycetes; Helotiales; Ploettnerulaceae
Description: LSU rRNA
Rfam family: Eukaryotic large subunit ribosomal RNA
Source: RNAcentral